GAAAAACCUUACCUACCCUUGACAUGUCCGGAAUCCUGAAGAGAUUUGGGAGUGCUCGCAAGAGAGCCGGAACACAGGUGCUGCAUGGCUGUCGUCAGCUCGUGUCGUGAGAUGUUGGGUUAAGUCCCGCAACGAGCGCAACCCUUAUCCUUAGUUGCCAUCAUUCAGUUGGGCACUCUAAUGAGACUGCCGGUGACAAACCGGAGGAAGGUGGGGAUGACGUCAAGUCCUCAUGGCCCUUAUGGGUAGGGCUUCACACGUCAUACAAUGGUCGGUACAGAGGGUUGCCAACCCGCGAGGGGGAGCUAAUCUCACAAAGCCGAUCGUAGUCCGGAUCGCAGUCUGCAACUCGACUGCGUGAAGUCGGAAUCGCUAGUAAUCGUGGAUCAGCAUGUCACGGUGAAUACGUUCCCGGGUCUUGUACACACCGCCCGUCACAACCAUGGGAGUGGGUUUCACCAGAAGUAGGUAGUCUAACCGCAAGG
Molecule: ribosomal RNA, 485 nt
Filed under: uncultured bacterium
Lineage: Bacteria
Description: bacterial SSU rRNA
Rfam family: Bacterial small subunit ribosomal RNA
Source: RNAcentral